This 72-nucleotide transfer RNA is filed under the name Blumeria graminis f. sp. tritici 96224. RNAcentral describes it as "tRNA-Pro (AGG) (tRNA-Pro-AGG-1-1)". It matches the Rfam family "tRNA". From Rfam's summary of the family: Transfer RNA (tRNA) molecules are approximately 80 nucleotides in length. Their secondary structure includes four short double-helical elements and three loops (D, anti-codon, and T loops). Lineage: Eukaryota; Fungi; Ascomycota; Leotiomycetes; Helotiales; Erysiphaceae. The record is from RNAcentral. RNAcentral also lists the same sequence under 1 other name.
GGUCUUAUGGUCUAGGGGUAUGAUUCUCGCUUAGGGUGCGAGAGGCCCCGCGUUCGAAUCGCGGUAAGACCC